GACGAACGCUGGCGGCGUGCUUAACACAUGCAAGUCGAACGGAAAGGCCCUGCUUGCAGGGUACUCGAGUGGCGAACGGGUGAGUAACACGUGGGUGAUCUGCCCUGCACUUCGGGAUAAGCUUGGGAAACUUGGUCUAAUACCGGAUAGGAGCCAUCUUUAGUGUGGUGUUUGGAAAGUUUUUUCGGUGUAGGAUGAGCUCGCGGCCUAUCAGCUUGUUGGUGGGGUAAUGGCCUACCAAGGCGGCGACGGGUAGCCGGCCUGAGAGGGUGUACGGCCACAUUGGGACUGAGAUACGGCCCAGACUCCUACGGGAGGCAGCAGUGGGGAAUAUUGCACAAUGGGCGCAAGCCUGAUGCAGCGACGCCGCGUGGGGGAUGAAGGCCUUCGGGUUGUAAACUCCUUUCGCUAGGGACGAAGCUUUUUGUGACGGUACCUAGAGAAGAAGCACCGGCUAACUACGUG
Molecule: ribosomal RNA, 465 nt
Filed under: uncultured bacterium
Lineage: Bacteria
Description: partial 16S ribosomal RNA
Rfam family: Bacterial small subunit ribosomal RNA
Source: RNAcentral